This 496-nucleotide ribosomal RNA is filed under the name uncultured bacterium. RNAcentral describes it as "partial 16S ribosomal RNA". It matches the Rfam family "Bacterial small subunit ribosomal RNA", at positions 28 to 506 of the family's 1533-position model. The record is from RNAcentral.
GAUGAACGCUGGCGGCGUGCCUAAUACAUGCAAGUCGAGCGAACGGACGAGAAGCUUGCUUCUCUGAUGUUAGCGGCGGACGGGUGAGUAACACGUGGAUAACCUACCUAUAAGACUGGGAUAACUUCGGGAAACCGGAGCUAAUACCGGAUAAUAUUUUGAACCGCAUGGUUCAAUAGUGAAAGACGGUUUUGCUGUCACUUAUAGAUGGAUCCGCGCUGCAUUAGCUAGUUGGUAAGGUAACGGCUUACCAAGGCAACGAUGCGUAGCCGACCUGAGAGGGGAAUCGCCCAAACUGAAACGGAAACACGGUCCAAACCCCUACGGAAGGAAGAGGUGGGAAAUUUUCCGAAAUGGGCGAAAGCUGGAGGGAGAACCGCCGGGUGAGUGAUAAAGGUCUUGGGAUCGUAAACCUCUGUUAUUGGGAAAGAAAAUAUGUGAAGGUAACUGUGACGAUUUUAACGGAACUUAAUAAGAAAGCAACGCCAAAUUCCGU